RNAcentral lists this long non-coding RNA (282 nucleotides) under Vigna radiata. Its description in RNAcentral is "long non-coding RNA (VRAD_LNC011593)". The record is from RNAcentral. Lineage: Eukaryota; Viridiplantae; Streptophyta; Magnoliopsida; Fabales; Fabaceae.
GGGAAGCGUUGGGGCAUUGGCCAUGACGACAUCGGUGACUUCUUGCCAGUGAAUGGUUUUAAGGUUGGUGCGCCAAGGAAGUAUCACUUUUUGCGGUAGGCGUCGAUGAAGGCGUAGGUUUCCUCUAGGGUCCAGCAUGGUAGGAGGAGGCAGAGGGAGGGGCGGCGAGAGUGAGGGAAAGGCCGUAAGGGCUUAGCGAAGUGGUUGCUCAGAAGAAAAUGAGAAUAACGCACAAAUGAUUUGGGGGCUAGGGGGCUAACCCGACCGUACUUCAUUCACAAC